Molecule: ribosomal RNA, 514 nt
Filed under: uncultured bacterium
Lineage: Bacteria
Description: partial 16S ribosomal RNA
Rfam family: Bacterial small subunit ribosomal RNA
Source: RNAcentral
GAUGAACGCUGGCGGCGUGCCUAAUACAUGCAAGUCGAGCGAACAGAUGAGAAGCUUGCUUCUCUGAUGUUAGCGGCGGACGGGUGAGUAACACGUGGGUAACCUACCUAUAAGACUGGGAUAACUCCGGGAAACCGGGGCUAAUACCGGAUAAUAUUUUGAACCGCAUGGUUCAAUAGUGAAAGACGGUUUCGGAUGUCACUUAUAGAUGGACCCGCGCCGUAUUAGCUAGUUGGUAAGGUAACGGCUUACCAAGGCGACGAUACGUAGCCGACCUGAGAGGGUGAUCGGCCACACUGGAACUGAGACACGGUCCAGACUCCUACGGGAGGCAGCAGUAGGGAAUCUUCCGCAAUGGGCGAAAGCCUGACGGAGCAACGCCGCGUGAGUGAUGAAGGUCUUCGGAUCGUAAAACUCUGUUGUUAGGGAAGAACAAAUUUGUUAGUAACUGAACAAGUCUUGACGGUACCUAACCAGAAAGCCAUGGCUAACUACGUGCCAGCCGCCGCGGUAA